Molecule: long non-coding RNA, 880 nt
Organism: Papaver somniferum (opium poppy)
Lineage: Eukaryota; Viridiplantae; Streptophyta; Magnoliopsida; Ranunculales; Papaveraceae
Exons: 3
Source: RefSeq, a predicted model, not a curated record
GUGAAUCAAGGAAAGAGUUAAUGAGUCUGUGAAGUUAAUUUUGGUUAGGGUUUCGUGAUGAUUGAAGAAAGAGGAAUCAGUAAAAUUAGGAUUAGGGUUCUAGAAUGGAUUGAAAAUUUUAUAUCAAAUUGAGAAUGAAAUCAAGUAAUGAUGGGUAUUGGGUGUUAAGUUUAAGGUUGAAUUUUUAGUUAUUGAUUUUCAAUUUAAUUCACAUUGAAGAAUCAGUGAGUUAGGGUUCCAACAUGAACUGGAAAUUUGAUUGGUGAUGAAUACGAUGAAAUUGAAAGAUGAUUUUGUUAAAUUGAGGUUUAGAUUCGUAUAAUAAUUGGAUGAACUCCAUCGAUUAGGGUUCUUAAUAGAAAAGAGAAUUCAUGGUUCACGGGUUUGAAACUUAGUUGAAAAAAAAAAGAAAAUUGACGGUUUAGGGAUAUGAUGGAAUCAAGUUGAAGAUUAAGCAAAGGGUGAAUCAUUUGUUUCAAUUUGGAAUUAAUCUGAGAACCUGUUAUAUGGAUAUUAGGUUACUAGUUUGAGAUGAAGUGUAUGUGAGUUGGAUUAGUAAUAUGAUGGGAUGAAGAUGGGUUUGCGUUUUUGUUGUUGUUGAUUAGCUCAAGAAUAUGGAGGUAAGGCUUUCACGGUUUCUGGUGAUACAGUCGUUUUCUCGAAUUACGCGGAUCAAAGACUCUACAAGCAGAUAAUUGGAGAUUCCUUUGCCAUACCAAUUACUCCAGAUUAUGGUGGACCUGUAGUUCAUUAUGCAGAUGGAGUAUUUGAUUUAGGAUCUCAAAGUUAUGUCACAGUAAGGGAAGAUACCCGUGACAGUAGCAUAAAUCCCACCACGACAAUUGUAUCCAUCACCUUUAAUGGCGAAACUAACCAAGGU